AGGAAGAGAAGAUGUUUCUUUUAUCAGGGAGCAGCAUAACCAGUUGGUGUUUAGUACCAAAUGUUCCUGAGUGAGGUGAAGCACAAAAAAGUUCUCAGCUGGGAGUUACUCUGCAGGGGACUAGUCUGUAAACGUCAUGGUUAUACUGGAUUUUAUUACACUGGCAGUCAGCUGUGAUAACAGACAUUAAUUUAAUGUAUUUAAUGUAAUAUUAAUAUCCAUUCAUCCAUCUCUAUUAUUGAAUUAAAUUAGAAUUAUGUAUACUAAUGUAUACCACAUUAUCUAUCUGAGGUACUACUUCUCAAACAGUGGGGUGGGCUCCUCUAGGGGGCGCAGUGAGGUGCCGAGGGGCGUGACGUGAGGAAUAUGAACCACCGCUGUAAUGCUUGAAUGAUAACAAGCCUCCAGUCACUAGGUGGCAGCAACUCAUACAGUGGUUUGUACAGAUAAAAUAUACACGUUAUAUGGUUCGCAAUAGUAUUGCAAUUCGCGGGAGUGUGGGUUGGAGUCAGGCGUGAAAACAUUUCUGUCCUCAUGUGGGGGUAUGACAGAAGUUACAUUGAGAAUCACUACUCUGUGUAUAGUAUUCCUCUCCUAUCGCGAUAGUUGCAAGACCCACCGCUAACAGGUUAAAUCCGCGAGGUAGGGGCGAGAUAGUUUUUAUAUCAUUUCUGUAUAUAUUUACCCUUAUCAACCCUCCCUAGACUGUAUUACCCUUUCCAACACAAUUAUAUGCACAGUAGAGUUGUAGAAUGGAAAUAUAAGACAUACACAUUACGUAAAUAGAUUAAAUACAACGCGGCGGAAGUUAGCGCUCAGUUGCAAGAGGAAGUGCACGGGAGUGGCGAUGCAGAUGCAGCCCCGGGCGGAAGUGAGCGCAAUUGGAGUAACCCGCUCCUCUCCUUAUAUUAAUAGGAAAAGUAGGAGACGGACCGACCUUACAUAAAUGUUGGGCACAAUCAGCGUGAGGAACGGAAGUGAAUGCUCAACUAGCCAAUAGAAUGCUGUGCAAGAUCUCGUCCAGUGUCACCUUUUCUAAUGUGUCUUCAUGAAGUUCGUUGAGGUUCAGCGUGUAGAUGCCUUCCUCUGCACCGAGAAUGAGGUGGACGCGCAGUGGAUGUGAAGAGGACAGCCGUUGAAAACUUUGGAGAAGCAGGCUCCCAUCUGUAGUGGCAGCACAUGUGAAUACCACCAAACAAUUCACAAGAGACCUGACAGUGAUUGAAUUGUGCCUGUUGAUCAUUUGGUAGCGGGCCACAGCUAAAGUAUUCAUGAUUUACUUCAUUUACUUUUUAUAUAUUUUGUCUGUAUUAUGCCACAAAUAAUUGCAGAUAAACGGUAUUACUGUCAACAACAUUUUGAGACCAAAUUAGUCACUAAGGAAAUGAUAAUAUAUUAUAUAUAUAUAACAAGUGCACCUUUUCAAAUGAAAUAAACUUUAUAUCUUAUGAGUAUUUUCUAUGAUGACUACGUGUCCCCCUUUAACGUUGCACCACGAUACUGGAUGAUACUACAGUUCAUAAGAAACCUGGCUGCAUUUAGCAAAAAUUUCAAAAAGAAGAUAAUUUGUAUGUGAUGAAAUGUCUAAGAGCUUGUGUCAACAAUGUUAGAAAUCACAUCAUAUUUUAUAUUUGGACUAAUGUCACUUAGAGCUUUCACAGUGGCAUGACUCCUUUUUACCUAUUUUUAUACCAAAUAAUGCUGGGAUGACAGCACUGACAGAAGAUAUGUCUUUCCCAGUGAAAUACCGUAAUUUACGGACUAUUGAGCACAUCUAAAUAUAAGCCGCACCCACUAAAUUUAAGAAGAAAAAAACAAUAGUACAUAUAUAGGCCGCACUUCUCUAUAAGCCGCAAGUGUCCACAUUGUAACAUGGGAUAUUUACACAGAAAGAUUAUUUUUCACAUAUUAAAUAAAUAAAUGUUUUUUCCCGAACAGUGCCUGUAACACAGCUGGUUAAACGUUAGCUCUUUCCUGUUUCAGCACCAUAGUUGGAAUGUACAGGGGAGACUUAGUGAUCUACUCCAGGGCUGAAGCUAACAUUAGCUCCGGGGCUAACUCCCUUCACUUUGUGCUCGUCCACAGCAGAGGUAAACAGAAACAGUGAAGU
Cynoglossus semilaevis (tongue sole) is the source of this 2110-nucleotide long non-coding RNA. RefSeq lists it as uncharacterized. The transcript is spliced from 3 exons. NCBI's taxonomy places the organism in Eukaryota, Metazoa, Chordata, Actinopteri, Pleuronectiformes, Cynoglossidae. The record is from RefSeq and is a predicted model, not a curated record.